AAUGUGUGGAGGAGUCGUCACCAAAAUCCCAGAUUUCCACCACGGAAAAUAGCCUUAUAUCAGCUGCAUUGAAAACGAUGUCUCUCGUUAUUGCCGUGGCUCUAGCACUUUACUGUGGAAGCUGUCUGGCCUUUCAGUGUUCUCUUUACAGGCAUGGUUGAUUUUAGUAGAGUGCCGUGGUGGUUCUGUAGGUGUCUUUGCGUAGUGCUCAUGUUAGCCGUGGCAUACGGGACUAUUUUCUUACAGUGCUUACAUGUUUUCGUGAAUUGUCUGUUACUCUGUCGCCGUUUAUUAUUUCCACCGGGUACCUGCCACACAAACUAUUUAAAAGUGGUGGGGGCAUCUUCUAUGCUAAUAUCCCCCUCACACUCUGUCAUGCUGAUAUUGUGAGACAGCUUUUCACCUCGAUGAGAAAUAUUGUCACGUUUUAAUAUCGCGAGAUCUCGUCACAUCCCUAGUAAUCACAGAUAGUUGCAGGUAGUAACGGGUAGUCUCAGGUAGUAACAGAUAGUCUCAGGUAGUAACAGAUAGUCUCAGGUAGUAACAGAUAGUCUCAGGUAGUAACAGGUAGUCUCAAGUAGUAACAGAUAGUCUCAGGUAGUAACAGGUAGUCUCAAGUAGUAACAGGUAGUCUCAAGUAGUAACAGAUAGUCUCAGGUAGUCUCAGGUAGUAAAGGGUAGUCUCAGGUAGUAACAGAUAGUCUCAGGUAGUAACAGAUAGUCUCAGGUAGUAACAGGUAGCCUCAGGUAGUAACAGGUAGUCUCAGGUAGUAACAGAUAGUCUCAGGUAGUAACAGGUAGUCUCAGGUAGUAACAGGUAGUCUCAGGUAGUAACAGGUAGUCUCAGGUAGUAACAGGUAGUCUCAGGUAGUAACAGACAGUCUCAGGUAGUAACGGGUAGUCUCAGGUAGUAACAGACAGUCUCAGGUAGUAACAGGUAACCGAACAUUAUGUGGUGAACACACACAGGCACGAUUUAUACACACAGUGACACGUUCCACCCUCAGAACACCUCUCGUCCAAUCAGAUCAGUGGACUGGAACUAAGAGCUGUAUAAGUAGUUAAUAACACACUCCAGACCGUGUGCAGGAACAUAAUCCAUUUCGGAGUAGUAACAGUAACUCCGCUUUAUCACACCAUCCUGUCAUUGAUCAUUUUCCUAUAACAGCACCACCUGGAGUGAUUAUUUCAAUACUUACUGGUGUUUUUUCUGUAAAAAGCCACGCCCCUCACACAACUAGUGAAGUUCUGUUUUUAUUUCCUCGGAAUGUUCCGGGUUUUUACAAACAGCUUUAUAACUACAGUAACAUUUUUAACUUUCCUGAAGUAGUCGGCAGAAAUCUCUCUGGAGUUUGACUUGCAUUUAUUUAUUUAUUUAUUAAUUGAUUGUUGCUGAGC
Long non-coding RNA from Ictalurus punctatus (channel catfish), 1398 nucleotides. The record is from Ensembl. Lineage: Eukaryota; Metazoa; Chordata; Actinopteri; Siluriformes; Ictaluridae.